Non-coding RNA from Parasteatoda tepidariorum (common house spider), 2853 nucleotides. Lineage: Eukaryota; Metazoa; Arthropoda; Arachnida; Araneae; Theridiidae. The record is from RefSeq and is a predicted model, not a curated record.
ACCAAAAUUUCAAUUUGAAAAUCUGGCUUAAUAUCAGAGUGAAAUACUUGCGAAAGAAUAUUUGAACAUUUUAUUAACCUGCUCUCACAUAGGGUUCAGAAAACCGGGCAAUGUUAAAAUUGCUUGACAAUAUAAUAGCUAUUUUUUGGAAUAGUUUUCAGAAGUCUAAGUGCAAUAUAUAUAAAUGGUACAAGGAAACACCUUAAAUGAGCUGUACAUUCUGUGUAGAAUUUUCUGGAGACAUUUGCCGAUAGUCCUUAACAUUCAAAAUUUUGAUGCCUAUAUUGACUCGAAUAAGAAGCAGGUUGAAAUUUGGUAUAUUGUACUGCGGAUUUCAAAAUGCUUACAAGAAUCUAAUGCCCUGGCCAGAAGAGUAGAAUCUAAAUGAACGAUUCUUAAAUAGUAGUCUACAAAGAACUGUAGAGCCAAAUUUUCUUAACUAUUCAAGGUGAAACUAAAGCUCUUAAUUUUCGCUAAAAAGUUAAAUUAUUUGCUUUAAUGAAAAGUUUUAGUUUGCCUAGAAUCGACAUAAAUAGUUCUCACUACUUUAACGGAGUUUUUAAAAAUACAUUUUGGUCAAAUAAAAGGGAUAAAAUUUUUGUUAGCAUAUAACAAAUUUAUAAAAUCUUACUUUUUGAUGUUAACCCAUAACCAUCAACCUAUGGCCAUUUAGUCAUCAAAAUCGUUCAGUUCUGUGAGACAAAGAAAAUAAGUAAGCACGUAUAACCUAAUUUUUAUUUAAACAUUACUUAAACUAGGAAGACACUUUAUAUUUUAAAAUUAGUAAGAUAUUUCUAACUUUAAAUUUUAAUAUGUUAAAAGUCAUUUGCUUGUAAUGAUAUUACUCAUAGAAAUAAAAAUUUUCUAGCUUUUAAUUAUAUGUAUUUCUUAUGUUCUUGUAUGAGCUUUAAUUUCAGUAAAUUUUAUGAAAUUAUAUCCGUAUCUUUUAAAAUGACCCUAAACAAAUUGAUAAACCAGUUGUCAUUAAAUAUCAAUUUGUUCUUAUUUCCUUCCUAUUCGUUUCAUCAAUCAAAAUUUAAUUGAAUAACUCUUCUGUAUUUGACAAACAUUCAAAUGUGAGUGACAAUGUAGAAAUUUAAAAUAAACAAUUCCAACAUAGUAUUUUUCCAGCUUUACAAUAAAAUAUCUAUUAAGUAUCUUGAAUACUGUAAACAUCGAAAGCACCUGAAUCAGGUAUAAAGUUCAAACUUUUAAAGUUCAAUACAUUUUUAAAAUGAAAUAUUCAAUUAAGUAUCUUUAAUUAAAUGUUUUUUUAGUAAAGCUUUAGGCUAUGUGGAGAGAAGUUAUAGACAGUGUAAACAUUCAUCUAUGAAAUGGUAUCCCACAAUAGAAUUGAGUUAACACUUCUUACAUACUAGUGUUUUGGAAUUAUAUUUUUGUAGUGGUAGAUAUACACAAGGCUAUUACGACUCUACUCUCUAGAAUAUUACUUGAAAGUUUAAAUAAAUCUUGCCACUAAUAUAUAUAUUUACUUUGAAAAUUUUAGUACAUGAAAAAUGAAAUGUUUGAACAUUUGCAACUGUACGAACUCUUAUCUAUGAUGAGUAACUGUAAAUUAAAUUUUUAUUGAUGUUUGAAAGUACAAAUGUAUUACAGCAGGUAUACUCUUCAUAUUGUUCAAAAACGUACUAUGUUUGUUUUUAAAUAUUUGUUUCUUUCUCUCCCUUAUUGGAUUAGAUUGUUUAAUUUAUCCUGUUUUGAGCCAAGGUACUGUUUUUCUCUUUUGUAUUUUUCAGAAUUGUCUGUAUUCUUGAUUGGUGGCUGAUGUGCAAGUUUUGAGGUGCUAUGACCACACAGGGUGAAAGGCUUCGAGAACGUAUCAAAUUAUUUGAAGAGGAAAAAAGUGAUUGGAUGGAAAAAUGUUACCAGCACAAAGAUUGUCUGUAUUCUUGAUUUUUUGCUGAUGUGUAAGUUUUGAGAUGCUAUGACCACACAGGAUGAAGGGUUUCGAGAAAUAAUUAAAUGACUUGAAGAGGAAACAAGUGAAUGGAUGGAAAAAUGUUACCAGCACAAAGAACGUGUCAAUAACUUUUUUGUUAAGCUAGUGGGUGAGACGAUGAACUUUAUUUUUCCUUGUUUUUUUGAAGCUGUUUUUAAAGCACAAAUGAAAGUCGCACUGAAUGUUAAGUCUCCAGAUUAUGUGUUGUCGACGAAGUUUUGUGAACUUUUUGGUGAAUGAGACUAAAAAAUAGGACACUUGUCCCCCAAUGAGAUGACUAAAUUUCAAAUCCCAUCCAUGGCUGAUUGAUAACAGUUCUGCCAGCUUGCACAGACCAAAGUGCUGACGUAAAAUAUCCUCAGUGGUAGACGGAUCACGACUUAGAAUCCAAUAUCGUCAAGCUAACCGUGGGCGGUUUUCCUGGUUUUCCUCUCAUGUAACGCAAAUGCGGGUUAGUUUAAGCAAAGUCCUCCAGGAAGGCUAGAACUUAUAAAAUUUUUAAACUAUUAGAUCGCGUUAUUUCUCAUGUGUAACAAUAAAGUUGUAAAAGAAUUCUUUAAGAAUUUGAGUAGUUUAGAGAUAUUAGUGAAACUCAGAAGUGGCUUUGUUUUUUUUAACGCUGGUUCAACCUUUUUACGGUCUUAUGAUUGCGGUCUUAUUAUAGGGAAAAUUUGUUGCAAAAUGUGUUUUUAUAGUUAGCUAUUUCAAGUUUUUCCAUUUAAAUUUUCAAGUGGUUGUAAAUAUUUUGUAUAUUGUAUUUAGAUAUAUUUAUUGUAUUAAAUUGUUCGGUAUACUAUUGUAAAAGUGGCAAUUUUGUAAGAUUGUUGUGACAUGAAGUUUCAACUUCAUUUGCUUUGUAAAUUAGAUAGAAAUAAAUAUGUUAUGUAUGUUAA